Molecule: ribosomal RNA, 403 nt
Filed under: Fusobacteriota bacterium
Lineage: Bacteria; Fusobacteriati; Fusobacteriota
Description: Fusobacteria bacterium partial 16S ribosomal RNA
Rfam family: Bacterial small subunit ribosomal RNA
Source: RNAcentral
UGGGGAAUUUUGCACAAUGGAGGAAACUCUGAUGCAGCGACGCCGCGUGAGUGAUGAAGAUCUUCGGAUUGUAAAACUCUGUCCUUAGUGAAGAUAAUGACAGUAACUAAGAAGCAAGCCCUGGCUAAAUACGUGCCAGCAGCCGCGGUAAUACGUAUGGGGCAAGCGUUGUCCGGAAUUAUUGGGCGUAAAGGGUACGUAGGCGGUUUAAUAAGUCCUAAUUAAAAGGCUAUGGCUCAACCAUAGUAUGGUUAGGAAACUGUUGAACUUGAGUAGAUGAGGGGAAAGUGGAAUUCCAUGUGUAGCGGUGAAAUGCGUAGAUAUAUGGAGGAACACCAAUGGCGAAGGCAACUUUCUGGAAUCAAACUGACGCUGAGGUACGAAGGCGUGGGGAUCAAACAGG